Long non-coding RNA from Toxotes jaculatrix (banded archerfish), 798 nucleotides. RefSeq lists it as uncharacterized. Lineage: Eukaryota; Metazoa; Chordata; Actinopteri; Toxotidae. The transcript has 4 exons. The record is from RefSeq and is a predicted model, not a curated record.
ACAGCAGCGUCUGGGAGAGCUGGGUUGGGGGUCGGGGGAAUGCGGAGGGGGGUGAUGGGGCAGGGCGGACGGUCGGAGGACGCGGGUCACAGAGGACAAGGAAAAUCAGGAACUUUGAAAGGUUUGGGAUUUCUCUGGACAGAAGUCUUAAGUAGAACUGGCUUACAAGUUUAUUCAACGGAAACCAAUACGACAAUAAGCGAUGCCUACAGCGGAAACAAAACCCUUGGUGCUAGAACCUCACAGCCACACCAGACUGUGUGAUCACACUCACCUGUCUACCUGCUCCACGCUUCUGUCAGACUGCUCCCUGCCUCUGACUCACCUGUGCCUUCUUACCUGCAAGACUCACUCCUCCCUGGACCCUCCACAGUCACACUGCCCUGCCACACAUGGUCUACCAAACCCUCAGUCCUCUGAAGCCUGCUGCCUUCCAGUCUCCAUCAGCCUCUUUAACAAUAAACACUGUUCUAAUUGUCUGCAGGUGUGAGAGUUCUGUUCUUUGAGUCCACAAGAAAAACACACCAGUUGUUACAGAACAUUCUGGCCAACAAUGGGUCCAGCAGAACCUCCCCCUCCUCUUCAGGAGAAUGACACUGCACUGCUCUCAGCCCAGGCUCACCUGUUGCUCCGGAUCUUGAUUAAACCUGUAAGCACCAGUCCCAGCAGGCAAUGGCCCUAUGGGGCAGCUUCUUACUUGCGAGUGACUAUAUGACAGAGACGGUGCCGUAAAAAAAACAGGAAGAGGGGAACGACAGAGCUGGGGAGCAAGAGCUACACUCUGGCCUGAGAUGAAUG